RNAcentral lists this long non-coding RNA (741 nucleotides) under Nicotiana benthamiana. RNAcentral describes it as "long non-coding RNA (NBEN_LNC042401)". The record is from RNAcentral. Lineage: Eukaryota; Viridiplantae; Streptophyta; Magnoliopsida; Solanales; Solanaceae.
AACAACCCCAUAUGUGGUUGAAAAUACACGGAUUGAUCAAACCAACUAGCCCAACAUAAUCAAGUGUUUCAACAGGCAUAGAUGCCAUAAUAUUCUGACUAAAGAAUAACUACUACUUACUGCCCAUAAUUGGUAGAUUCAAUCGAUAACCCCAAAUUUGCAUUUAACUGAAUUUAACAUAUAAUAAUUGGAAUCACAACGUAAUUACUUGAAGAUCUAAUAUUACACAAAGAAUAUAAAAUAAACUCGAUUGAGGCAUCAACUCCAACACAUAUACAUCUUCAACUCGUUUUUGCAAUCCAGGGAUUUAAAUAAGAUACUUGGAAAAGGGAAGCAGAAAAAUUAAAAUUCGGCAGCAGGAAGAAACAGCAACGUACCCAGCAAUACGAAAUCACCAGUAAAAACAGCUAGAUAUCAAACAAUGGAACAAUAAACACAGCAAAAAACAAAGACUUGAACCAGCACUUUCAGAAUCCCAACUUAAUCCAUUUCUGACCCCAAAGAUGAUUAGCAGUAUUCAGUAACUCAAGGUCUAAGACCAUAAAAAUUCAAUGAAACAGUGUCUUCCUACUCAGAUUUAGCCGUUUUUGUUUUUUUCUCUAUUUUUAUCCCAUAAAUCUCUCCAAACUUUUUCUGAACUUCAUCUCUUCAAAACUCUUUUUUUACUUUAUGAUCCUCGAUGGAACAGUCUUUUUAUCCUAAAUUCUAGCCGUCUGAAUUUAUUGGAAUUUUCAGUUCUUA